CCCGAUUUGGACCAACUUGAAAACUGGGCCAAUAAUCAAGAAUCUAAGUACAUUUUUAGAUUCAGCAUAUCAAAGAACUAACUGAUUCAUUUUUUGUCAAAAUCAAACUAAGUUUAAUUUUGGACCCUUUGGACCUUAAUGUAGACCAAUUUGAAAACGGGACCAAAAGUUAAGAAUCUACAUACACAGUCAUGACAGUUAGAUUCAGC
This 209-nucleotide long non-coding RNA is filed under the name Mytilus galloprovincialis (Mediterranean mussel). The record is from RNAcentral. Lineage: Eukaryota; Metazoa; Mollusca; Bivalvia; Mytilida; Mytilidae.